RNAcentral lists this transfer RNA (62 nucleotides) under Henosepilachna vigintioctopunctata. Its description in RNAcentral is "tRNA-His". The record is from RNAcentral. Lineage: Eukaryota; Metazoa; Arthropoda; Insecta; Coleoptera; Coccinellidae.
AUUUAAGUAGUUUAAUUAAAAUUUUGAAUUGUGGUUUCAAAGAUAUUUUUUAAUCUUAAAUU